CGCCAGCGACCUCUGGGGGCCUGCGGGCUCCACCGGCCGCGCCUCGCCCUGGUUCUCUCCCUUCAGAAACUGGAUUCUCCUGCCCCGGCCCCGGCCAGCUCUCCGCGAGGCCUGCGAGGUCCUGGAAGAAAAAUCCUCAGUCUGCAACCCCAGUGAUUAUCCCCGGCAGGCCCUCGGAGGCGUCACAGAAACACACC
This 197-nucleotide long non-coding RNA is filed under the name Dasypus novemcinctus (nine-banded armadillo). RNAcentral's name for it is "lncRNA (ENSDNOG00000051270.1)". The record is from RNAcentral. Lineage: Eukaryota; Metazoa; Chordata; Mammalia; Cingulata; Dasypodidae.